AACUUUUAACAACGGAUCUCUUGGCUCUCGCAUCGAUGAAGAACGCAGCGAAAUGCGAUAAGUCAUGUGAAUUGCAGAAUUCAGUGAAUCAUCGAAUCUUUGAACGCACCUUGCGCUCCUUGGUAUUCCGAGGAGCAUGCCUGUUUGAGUGUCA
RNAcentral lists this ribosomal RNA (154 nucleotides) under uncultured fungus. RNAcentral's name for it is "partial 5.8S ribosomal RNA". It matches the Rfam family "5.8S ribosomal RNA". Rfam says of the family: 5.8S ribosomal RNA (5.8S rRNA) is a component of the large subunit of the eukaryotic ribosome. The record is from RNAcentral. Lineage: Eukaryota; Fungi.